Molecule: ribosomal RNA, 848 nt
Filed under: uncultured archaeon
Lineage: Archaea
Description: bacterial SSU rRNA
Rfam family: Archaeal small subunit ribosomal RNA
Source: RNAcentral
GACCCGACUGCUAUUUGGGUGAGAAUAAGCCAUGCGAGUUGAAUGGGAUACCUAAAUUUCCCAUAGCGAACUGCUCAGUAACACAUGAUCAACUUACCCUAUAGAGAAACAUAACCUCGGGAAACUGAGGAUAAUAUUUCAUAGUUGAAUAGGCUUGGAAAAGUUUUUCAAUAAAAGAGAUAAAAAAAAUGGUUUUUAUCUGCUAUAGGAUAGGAUCGUGGACGAUUAUGGUUGUUGGUGAGGUAACGGCUCACCAAGCCGAUAAUCGAUAGGGGCCGUGAGAGCGGGAGCCCCGAGAUGGGUACUGAGACAACGACCCAGGCCUUACGAGGCGCAGCAGGCGCGGAACCUCCGCAAUACACGAAAGUGUGACGGGGUUACCCAAAGUGUUCAAUUUUGAACUGUGGUAGGUGAGUAAUGUUCCCUACUAGAAAGGAGAGGGCAAGGCUGGUGCCAGCCGCCGCGGUAAAACCAGCUCUUCAAGUGGUCGGGAUAAUUAUUGGGCUUAAAGUGUCCGUAGCCGGUUUAGUAAGUUCCUGGUAAAAUCGGGUAGCUUAACUAUCUGUAUGCUAGGAAUACUGCUAUACUAGAGGGCGGGAGAGGUCUGAGGUACUACAGGGGUAGGGGUGAAAUCUUAUAAUCCUUGUAGGACCACCAGUGGCGAANGCGUCAGACUGGAACGCGCCUGACGGUGAGGGACGAAAGCCAGGGGAGCGAACCGGAUUAGAUACCCGGGUAGUCCUGGCCGUAAACGAUGCAUACUNNGUGAUGGUGUGGCCAUGAGCCGUAUCAGUGCCGUNNGGAAACCGUUAAGUGUGCCGCCUGGGAAGUANGGUCGCAAGGCUAAA